CGACAACAUUCCCAAACAGGCACAUGGAGGAGGAGCAAAUGUUCAGUCAUGACUGGAACGGGAUUGUGCAAGCCAUGGAUGCUUCUGUAAAUAAAACGGACGAACGAUCCCAGGCAACAGCCAUAUGGGACUGGAACACAUAUUGAUGCAAAUGGAAAAGAAGCCUUUUAUGUGGCAGUAGGCCUCCAGAGAGGAGAAGAAAAUGUACAAGAGCCACAGGAGCACAAAGAGGCAGGAUGUGAGGAGCUUGGCAGUCCGGGGCCCACCCAGCUCACCUCCGAUUUCUGGCCUCCGCCGAUACAGCAGCACCCCCACAUUGAUGAAAGCAAAAAUGGUGAAGAGAGUGACAGAGAAAGCUAGCGUGCCGGGGGACACUUUGAACUGUUCCCCGUUGGCCGCGUGGUAGAUGGCAGCGAUGGACCAGGCCACGCCAAUCCCCAGGAAGACGUUCACCGCGUUGCUGCCUGUGACGUUGCCUAUGGACGCGUCUGCAUACUGGUCCUGGGUGGCUGCCACCUUGCUGGCGAACGUAUCUGUGGAGGAAGAAGAAGAAGGCAGUGACCUUCAGCUCACCUGGUGGAGGUGUGGUGUUCUAUAGGCUUCAGCUGUGUUCUCUGGAAUGAAACCCAGUGGCCAGGAGCAGGCUUGGAUGUGCAGGGAGCGGGACAAGAGUGAUUGAUACUUCCUGAUGCGUAAAGUACAGGGAGAUUUAGAGCGCUUGGAGCCAGAGGGUUUCAGACCCUGCCUUCCACACGGACGCCCGAGCUGUGAGACAGGCACAGUGCGCCCACCUGAGAGAGGUUUGCACAUGAUCACCCUUCAUUAGAAUCGACUAAAGAUAAUCUCAGUUUAAAGAAUAAGGACCUACAUGAAAUAUUCCAAGAUCCUAGGAAGAAAGACCUAGACCUCUAGACCUGAAGAUAUUGCCAUUGAUCAAAUGAAACCACAGUACAGAGUCAUCACCCGCAAAACGAAAAAUGGCAGCAAAAUAAGUGACUUGAAAUCACUCUGGUCAACCAUCCAUUUCUAGAAAUGAAGCCAUGGUACAGAUGGUGGCAGCAAUGCCUGAGUUUCAAACACUCUUACGUCAAUCAAGUGUGCCCACUGCUGGCAUUGGAAACAUUGGGAGAGCCCUUUAGAAACAAGAUUUGGGGGCCUCUCCUGGUGGUGCAGCAGUUGAGCACUGGGCUGCAAAGCUGCCCGCAGCCUCUGCAGUGCCGGUUCAAUCCCUGGCCACUGGUGAGGGUCCCACAUGGUGCACAGACCUCUCCUGCUGCGCCCGCUGCUCCCCUCAGCAGUGUAUUUCAGCCCAUCUGCCUGUUCUGUUCACCGCUCUGGUGAAUUCUCUCACCCUUCCGUGCUUCUGACUGUACCCAGUACUUGUAUAAAUAAAUCUUAAAAAAAAUAAAAACAAACAAAAACAAGAUUUGGGGCUCUACCCUCAACCCAUUUAACCAGAGAAUGCAGGAGGAUGCAUUUAAACAAGUGCCUUAGGUAUUUUCUAUACCAAGGUUUAAUAACUAGCUCUAAGGUAUAAAAAUGGGGAUAUUGCUCCAAGUGCUCACAAGUUGGGGGGAGGCUUGCCGGGAGGUAUAGAUAUUUGAGUUUCAGGGAAGCAGCUAAGUGGAGCGAAGGGCAGCUGAUUUCUCUGAGAAACGGUGAUGCCCUCUGACAAAGACCAUCCCACUGCCAUGCUUGCUCUGUUGUAGUCUUAUUUUUUUCAACCCUAUUUCUGGCAUGGCUAUAGUGAACAACCAAGGGAGGAGGGAAAUUUGUAACUUAGUUGAAUUCUGGCUCCUCCACUUGCCAGGUAAGACAUUUACUUACUUUAUAGGUUUCUGAAAGAAAUGAGUUAACAUGAGCCAUACUCAGAAUAGGGCCUGGCACAUAAUGAGUGUUUGAUAUUAUUAGCAAUCCCAAGAGAUAUCAUAAGUGGUAAGAAAUUCUGACUUAAUGAUUCUUAAUGUUAGUAAGACUUUAAAGGGUAUUAUAACUCUCCUAACUUUAUGAUCCCAUGCUUUUAAAAAUGUGAUAGAAAAUAAAAUUAUUCUUAAAAUAUCUUGGUCUCCAGGACCUAAAGUGAAAGGGGCGGGGCAGGGAAUUAUUAAUGGGUGUAGAGCUUCAACUGCAAUUUGGUAAGAAGUGUGGAGACUUUUUGUGAAAAUGAAGCACUUAAAAAUGAUUAGGAUGGCAAGUUUUGUUAUGUGUUGUUUAGCACAAUUUAAACAUUUUUAAAUGGUUUUGCCUAAAAAAUUAGACUCUACCUUAGUGUUUCUAUAAGGAUUAUAAUUGAUGCAAAAUAUUUCAUUUGUGGACUUAAAUAUGUUUGUUUUAAUAAAAAGUUUGCACAAAAUAAAAUCCUGAAAAUUCCAUAUAAAUUAAGCCAUAAAAAUGCAUUAGAAUUU
Molecule: long non-coding RNA, 2405 nt
Organism: Talpa occidentalis (Iberian mole)
Lineage: Eukaryota; Metazoa; Chordata; Mammalia; Eulipotyphla; Talpidae
Exons: 4
Source: RefSeq, a predicted model, not a curated record